CAUGAAGUUGGAGUUGCUAGUAAUCGCGGAUCAGAAUGCCGCGGUGAAUGCGUUCCCGGGUCUUGUACACACCGCCCGUCACACCACGGAAGUUGGGGGUGCCCAAAGUUGGCAGGAUAAUAUGUUACCUAAGGCAAAACCGAUGACUGGGGUGAAGUCGUAACAAGGUAUC
RNAcentral lists this ribosomal RNA (172 nucleotides) under uncultured bacterium. Its description in RNAcentral is "partial 16S ribosomal RNA". It matches the Rfam family "Bacterial small subunit ribosomal RNA", at positions 1319 to 1500 of the family's 1533-position model. The record is from RNAcentral.